UCUGGCUUCCCUAACAUGUGGGCGACAGUCUUAAUAGGAAAACCAUAUGCCAUUGUUCCCCUUCAACUUUCUUUCUUGGCAAGAACACAGCUCCGUGGAGGAAAAAGGGAGAGGAAACAGGGACACAUCGCAGAAGGAGGGAUUCCGGUUUUGAAGUGAGGAAGAGCUUCCGGAGGGUGGAGGCUGCCAAGCGCUGGAUGGAGACGCCAAAAAGAAUGAGAACUUUUUCCAGCCUGGAAAUCUUGAGGUUGCCUUCUCCCUCGGGGUGGCAAUGGCCUCCACACUCUCUGUCCUCGGAGGCCAUGAGAGGUCAGUCACUCGGCCUUCCCAACAGAUUCCUUCAUGCGCACAACGGCAGGCCAGUGAAAUCAGGUGGGUGCCUCUCUGGCAAGGCUGGGCAGCUCCCAGUGAGCCCCCACAUCAUGGAGGGAGAGAGACAACAGCUGUGGUGCACCAUUACCUGAGAUGCUCUGCACUUCCCUCUAAAGCAGGCUCCGUGUGGGAGGAUCUCGCCGACUGCAGGCUAAGGUGAUUGGCUCCUUGGCUGAUUUGUGGAGAAACAAACUGACUGCCCCUCCAGAAAGAAGCUCCCCUCCCACCCUCGCUCCUCUGGCCUCCUCUGUUGAGGAAGGUUGGGCUUCUUCCUCCGUCUGCUCUGUCCAGAAGCUUCUGGAGGAAGAGGAAAUGCACCCAUCCCUUGUGCAACCCUGAAAGGCUAAGCAUUGACCUGGGACCUGAACAGCAGGGUCAGGACAGAGAGCCCACGGCAGGCUGGGAGGAGAUAUGGCCCUGAGGGAGGGGACCAUGUCCUGCUUUUAUGGUUCCUCUAGUGAGUAUUUAUUUGCAGUUGUCUCCCAGACGGCAGCCCUGACCUGUGGCACCGUGGGAUCCACAGCAACUCCGUGUUCAGUGUUACCGUGGCGGGGGGCGGGUGGUGGCGGAACCCAGAGAUAGAGAUCCAAAUGCAAACCACAGGCGGGCAGCAGUGAGGAGAGGGGAGCUGAGCGGAGACUCAGGAGGCAGAGGGCCAAGCCAGGUGGCAGGGCCCAGAGCUUCCAGAGAGGCAGGUCAUUCUGUUUGGUCCAAAGGCAGAGUGUCGGGGCAGGGGACAGGCUGCAGGGGGAAGAACACACAGGAAGGGCAGGAACUGAACAGGGAAGAGCUGGGGCCAGACCUAAGCCCCAGAGACCAGCAGUGUCCCCAGGAAGAACUGGAGACAAAGCCAGGGGCAGCCCCUUGGGGCACCCCCAGGAUGGUGCCCAGCCUGCCCAGGUGGCACCGCAGCAGCAGCAGGCUGGACACACCUCCCCAGGACCUGCAGGCCUGGGCUUCCCCGCCUUCUCCCCUGCAGGUGGUCUGACCCCUCCCUUCCCUCUGCCCUUUCCUUUGCUCCCCACCUGCCCAGCACGGUCCUCACCCUUCAGUGUUUUGCUCCUCCUCUGCCAGCUUCCUGUCUGUGGGCCUCACUUCUUGUCUGUGUUGUUCCCAGGAUCCUAGAUGUUGGGCUCACGGAAAAUACUCAAUAAAUAUUUAUGG
Long non-coding RNA from Marmota monax (woodchuck), 1536 nucleotides. RefSeq lists it as uncharacterized. The transcript has 3 exons. The record is from RefSeq and is a predicted model, not a curated record. NCBI's taxonomy places the organism in Eukaryota, Metazoa, Chordata, Mammalia, Rodentia, Sciuridae.